UUUCCCAGGGUGGCACCUCGCUCUUGGCCGGAUGAAUCUUCGCUGCUGGCCGUGGAAACGGCUAGAGCAGCUUGUUAGUUGAUUUUUAAAUUUCUGAGUGUUGUGUUUAAAGCCUUUCGUGCACAGAGGAAGAAUCGCCACGUUAAAUAAGCAUAUGGGUGAUUAACAGGUUUUCCAAGAAAUAACUUCACCAAGAUGUCCAGUGAUAGGCAAAGGUCCGAUGAUGAGAGCCCCAGCACCAGCAGUGGUAGUUCAGAUGCAGACCAGCGAGACCCAGCCGCUCCAGAGCCUGAAGAACAAGAAGAAAGAAAACCUGCCACCCAGCAGAAGAAGAACACCAAACUCUCUAGCAAAACCACUGCUAAGUUAUCCACUAGUGCUAAAAGAAUUCAGAAGGAGCUAGCUGAAAUAACCCUUGAUCCUCCUCCUAACUGCAGUGCUGGGCCUAAAGGAGAUAACAUUUAUGAAUGGAGAUCAACUAUACUUGGUCCACCAGGUUCUGUAUAUGAAGGUGGUGUGUUUUUUCUGGAUAUCACAUUUUCAUCAGAUUAUCCAUUUAAGCCACCAAAGGUUACUUUCCGCACCAGAAUCUAUCACUGCAACAUCAACAGUCAGGGAGUCAUCUGUCUGGACAUCCUUAAAGAUAACUGGAGUCCUGCUUUGACUAUUUCAAAGGUUUUGCUGUCUAUUUGUUCCCUUUUGACAGACUGCAACCCUGCGGAUCCUCUGGUUGGAAGCAUAGCCACUCAGUAUUUGACCAACAGAGCAGAACAUGACAGGAUAGCCAGACAGUGGACCAAGAGAUACGCAACAUAAUUCACAUAAUUUGUAUGCAGUGUGAAGGAGCAGAAGGCAUCUUCUCACUGUGCUGCAAAUCUUUAUAGCCUUUACAAUACGGACUUCUGUGUAUAUGUUAUACUGAUUCUACUCUCUGCUUUUAUCCUUUGGAGACUGGGAGACUCCCUAAAAAGAUUGAAGUUUACUGUUAAUUACAGAGAAGGACAUAAAAGAGGUGUGGUGGAAGGGUCUACCAGAACCAGAUGCUAAGCACACAGCAGUGUAUAAAAAAAAUUCUCUCUUCCAGCUUCCAGAAUUCCUCCUCUUCAACCUUGCCUGUUCACUGGAAUAACGAAGCUAUUAAACAAGGGUGUAAAGAAGUUCCAUCUAGUGGUUGAAGCUUGGUAGAGAACAAGGAAGUAGGCUGGGGUAGAUCAAGUAAUCAUCUGCACUCUGAGUCUUUCCCAGUCUCACUAAGGGGGGUAAAGAGGGAAACAGUUUUAAAUUUCAUGUGUACUCUAGCAGAUAUAAUGUGAUUGUGACAAUCUUCCCAUGAAUAUUUGUUAACCCUAUCUAAUUUAAAUAAUUGUGUAAUAAAAUGUGCAGGUGUUAAAUCGA
Trichechus manatus latirostris (Florida manatee) is the source of this 1395-nucleotide RNA transcript. It is a transcript of the gene named ubiquitin conjugating enzyme E2 E3, with no coding region annotated. NCBI's taxonomy places the organism in Eukaryota, Metazoa, Chordata, Mammalia, Sirenia, Trichechidae. The record is from RefSeq and is a predicted model, not a curated record. The transcript is spliced from 8 exons.